CCUACGGGAGGCAGCAGUGGGGAAUAUUGCGCAAUGGGCGAAAGCCUGACGCAGCGACGCCGCGUGAGGGAUGAAGGUCUUCGGAACGGAAACCUCUGUCAGCAGGGAAGAAAGGUCACUGUGCUAAUCAGCAGUGAAUUGACGGUACCUGCAAAGGAAGGACCGGCUAACUCAGUGCCAGCAGCCGCGGUAAUACGGAGGGUGCGCGCGUUAAUCGGAAUGACGGGGCGGAAAGCGCUCAUAGGCGGUAUGUCAAGUCAAGGGUGAAAUCCCCGCUCUCAACUUGGGAACUGCCUUUGAAACUGGCAAACUUGAGUGUGUGAGAGGCUAGUGGACUUCCAGUUGUAGUAG
RNAcentral lists this ribosomal RNA (351 nucleotides) under uncultured bacterium. RNAcentral's name for it is "partial 16S ribosomal RNA". It matches the Rfam family "Bacterial small subunit ribosomal RNA", at positions 338 to 681 of the family's 1533-position model. The record is from RNAcentral.